Molecule: transfer RNA, 71 nt
Filed under: Fasciola gigantica
Lineage: Eukaryota; Metazoa; Platyhelminthes; Trematoda; Plagiorchiida; Fasciolidae
Description: tRNA-Arg
Rfam family: tRNA (bases 7-63)
About the family: Transfer RNA (tRNA) molecules are approximately 80 nucleotides in length. Their secondary structure includes four short double-helical elements and three loops (D, anti-codon, and T loops). Further hydrogen bonds mediate the characteristic L-shaped molecular structure. tRNAs have two regions of fundamental functional importance: the anti-codon, which is responsible for specific mRNA codon recognition, and the 3' end, to which the tRNAs corresponding amino acid is attached (by aminoacyl-tRNA synthetases). tRNAs cope with the degeneracy of the genetic code in two manners: having more than one tRNA (with a specific anti-codon) for a particular amino acid; and 'wobble' base-pairing, i.e. permitting non-standard base-pairing at the 3rd anti-codon position.
Source: RNAcentral
GCUGGAUGGUGCAAUGGUAACACGUUCGCCUUCGAGGUGAGAACGCCCGGGUUCAAACCCCGGGCGCAACG